This 253-nucleotide ribosomal RNA is filed under the name uncultured bacterium. RNAcentral's name for it is "partial 16S ribosomal RNA". It matches the Rfam family "Bacterial small subunit ribosomal RNA", at positions 524 to 776 of the family's 1533-position model. The record is from RNAcentral.
UACGUAGGUGGCAAGCGUUGUCCGGAUUUACUGGGCGUAAAGGGCGUGCAGGCGGCCUGCUAAGUCGAACGUGAAAUCCCCGGGCUCAACCCGGGAACUGCGUCCGAUACUGGCAGGCUUGAAUCCGGGAGAGGGAUGCGGAAUUCCAGGUGUAGCGGUGAAAUGCGUAGAUAUCUGGAGGAACACCGGUGGCGAAGGCGGCGUCCUGGACCAAUACUGACACUGAGGAGCGAAAGCCAGGGGAGCAAACGGG